AUGAUAAACAGGCAUCUCUGGCCAGGGGUCUGGGAGCAGAGCCACUUGGUUCCCAGGGCGGGUUUCUUGUUUCCCUGCAGGCAGGUGUUGGCAGGGAUAACGCAGAAGCCUUUGUCCCCUCUGGUCAUUCCACAGCUUGGAUUCUGUCUCUGGCCAGGUCCCAGAGAUGCCGGCUGCUUUCCUCCGGCGGAAGAAGCUGCUCUUUCUGUGUGCAGAUGGUCCCGUUGCAGGACACCUCGGUCACUGGAGAGCAGGCUGGCAGGAGAGUUCCCCUUCCCCAGAGCAGGACGGUGGCUGGGUGGAAAUGACCUUGAGAUCAGGUGGGAGGAAUGGGGCCUAACUGGCCACUCGGUGACCCUGAGAAGAGGGCAGGAAAGCACGUUGACUCUGACUCGCUGCAGGGAAGAGUUAAAACACGGAGGCGAAGUUGUUUACCCGGAGAGGGACCAUGGAGGGUGGGGACAGGUGAGUCCUGUGCAGUGCUAAGUGCUCGUGCCCGGUCUGAGUGAGUGAAGCCCAGGUGCGCCCGUCAUUUGGGGGUCUCUGUCGAAGAGAGACCUGAGUCCCCUGGCCACCCUGAUUUUAAGCUGUUUCUGUGUCUAUUUCUCAUCUUUGUCACACCUUGGUCAGGUUUGAGCUGAGCCAGUCGGCUGGUUCCUACCGGUGGUGUCCGAAAGGACCUGGUCAAGGAAGUACACCCGAGGAGAGAAAAGCCUGGAGACUCAGUGACCGGGACUGCCGCAGCGGAGAGGCGCUGGCCAGCGAAAGAAAGCGACAGAUGGCACAAAGAAAGCAUAAUGUGAAAUAGGAAGAAAAGGUCCACAGGGGAAGUAGGCAAAGAAAAGAUGAGGAAAGAAGGAAAACAUGGAAACAAAGCUUUGGUAAAUAGGGAGGGGUGAAAGCGAGGGAAGUGGAAUGGGAAAAACAAGAACCAAGGUAAAUACAGAGUCAGUCAUAUCAUAUACCUGCCAUGUAUAUCACGUACGAGUUCCCAACAGUGAAUGUGAUCGUAAUGUGAACUCAAUAAAAACUGAGAGAAAAGGAACGUGUGGGCAGUGUCGCAGCGCUUGCUUAUCAAAGAUCUGUCAGACAGGCUGUGCUUCGUGGAGAACCUGUGGGGUAUGUGCAUUUCCAAUUGCUAUUCCUCUUGACCCUCACAAGCCACA
Molecule: long non-coding RNA, 1166 nt
Filed under: Fukomys damarensis (Damara mole-rat)
Lineage: Eukaryota; Metazoa; Chordata; Mammalia; Rodentia; Bathyergidae
Description: lncRNA (ENSFDAG00000023819.1)
Source: RNAcentral